Molecule: ribosomal RNA, 1217 nt
Filed under: Carassius auratus (goldfish)
Lineage: Eukaryota; Metazoa; Chordata; Actinopteri; Cypriniformes; Cyprinidae
Description: partial 16S ribosomal RNA
Rfam family: Bacterial large subunit ribosomal RNA
Source: RNAcentral
GACCUUUAGUUUGAAACCCCGAAACCAGGUGAGCUACCCCGAGACAGCCUAUUGAGGGCCAACCCGUCUCUGUGGCAAAAGAGUGGGAAGAGCUCCGGGUAGAAGUGACAGACCUACCGAACCUGGUGAUAGCUGGUUGCCUAAGAAAUGGAUAGAAGUUCAGCCUCGUACUCCCCAAAUCAAGUAAGCAUUAACAAGACAACAAGAGAAAUACACGAGAGUUAGUUAAAGGGGGUACAGCCCCUUUGACAAAGGAUACAACCUUUCUAGGAGGAUAAAGAUCAUAAUACAUAAAACAUACUGUUCUAGUGGGCCUAAAAGCAGCCACCUAAAUAGAAAGCGUUAAAGCUCAGACAGACAGAAGUUUAUUAUCCUGAUAAUAUAUCUCACUCCCCUAAAUACUAUUAGGCCAACCCAUGCCCACAUGGAAGAGAUUAUGCUAAAAUGAGUAACAAGAAGGCCCGCCCUUCUCCAAGCACAAGUGUAAGCCAAAUCGGACUAGCCAUUGGCAACUAACGAACUCAACCCAAGAGAGCAAUGUGGUAUUACAAAAAAACCUAGAAAAACCCACAACCUAGAUAUCGUUACCCCCACACUGGAGUGCAACAAAGGAAAGACUAAAAGAAAAGGAAGGAACUCGGCAAACACAAGCCUCGCCUGUUUACCAAAAACAUCGCCUCCUGCAACACAACCAAGUAUAGGAGGUCCAGCCUGCCCAGUGACUACAAGUUCAACGGCCGCGGUAUUUUGACCGUGCAAAGGUAGCGCAAUCACUUGUCUUUUAAAUAGAGACCUGUAUGAAUGGCUAAACGAGGGCUUAACUGUCUCCCCUUUCCAGUCAGUGAAAUUGAUCUACCCGUGCAGAAGCGGGUAUAAUAAUACAAGACGAGAAGACCCUUUGGAGCUUAAGGUACAAAACUCAACCACGUUAAGCAACUCAAUAAAAAGUGAAAACUUUGUGGAAUAUGAGAUUUUACCUUCGGUUGGGGCGACCACGGAGGAAAAAGAAGCCUCCAGGUGGACCGGGAGAAUUUCCUAAAACUAAGAGAGACAUCUCUAAGCCACAGAACAUCUGACCAAAUAUGAUCCGGCUAAUACAAGCCGAUCAACGAACCAAGUUACCCUAGGGAUAACAGCGCAAUCCUCUCCCAGAGUCCAUAUCGACGAGGGGGUUUACGACCUCGAUGUUGGAUCAGGACAUCCUAAUGGUGCAGCCG